UCAGACCAUUCCUCACCACUGAAAAACAUCAGUAGUCAGGGGUGCAGUGUCAUUGAUUGCAAAGAAGACGGGGUAACAACGUUUCCAACCCGUCAAAAUGUUUCUGCCUUUUAACUUGAAUUGGACAGCAAGUAUCUUCACUGAACUCGAUUGAUAAGUAGUAACGUAUUCUAGUCCAAACUGUGUGGAGAAAUACAACCUUACGAGAAGCACAUAAAUGCAGCAUUAAAAGUGGAGGGACGUUGAGUCUGGCGACAUCUUGUGGCGAAAUGACGGUGAGAAGCAGCAGCUAUCCAGCGUCACACAAUGGUUGAAGACCCUGAAGACCCAGGAGCACUCCCAGAUAACACAGCAGGGCAGGUUGUGCGGGUGUCCAUCUGUCUCUAAU
Micropterus salmoides (largemouth bass) is the source of this 388-nucleotide long non-coding RNA. RefSeq lists it as uncharacterized. The record is from RefSeq and is a predicted model, not a curated record. The transcript has 3 exons. Lineage: Eukaryota; Metazoa; Chordata; Actinopteri; Centrarchiformes; Centrarchidae.